UACAGAGGUCCCAAGCGUUGUCCGGAAUUAUUGGGCGUAAAGAGCUCGUAGGCGGUCUGUUACGUCGGCUGUGAAAACCUGGGGCUCAACCCCGGGCCUGCAGCCGAUACGGGCAGACUAGAAUUCGGUAGGGGAGACUGGAAUUCCUGGUGUAGCGGUGAAAUGCGCAGAUAUCAGGAGGAACACCGGUGGCGAAGGCGGGUCUCUGGGCCGAUAUUGACGCUGAGGAGCGAAAGCGUGGGGAGCGAACAGG
Molecule: ribosomal RNA, 253 nt
Filed under: uncultured bacterium
Lineage: Bacteria
Description: partial 16S ribosomal RNA
Rfam family: Bacterial small subunit ribosomal RNA
Source: RNAcentral